This 77-nucleotide small RNA is filed under the name Xanthomonas vasicola. Its description in RNAcentral is "sX9 sRNA". It matches the Rfam family "Xanthomonas sRNA sX9". The record is from RNAcentral. RNAcentral also lists the same sequence under 4 other names. Lineage: Bacteria; Pseudomonadati; Pseudomonadota; Gammaproteobacteria; Lysobacterales; Lysobacteraceae.
AUGUACCACUCCACACACUCGGCUUCCUGCGCACCGUCCACGCCGACCUGACAACUGCUCGCCACAUUUUGAUCGCC